Molecule: ribosomal RNA, 497 nt
Filed under: uncultured bacterium
Lineage: Bacteria
Description: partial 16S ribosomal RNA
Rfam family: Bacterial small subunit ribosomal RNA
Source: RNAcentral
GAUGAACGCUGGCGGCGUGCCUAAUACAUGCAAGUCGAGCGAACAGACGAGGAGCUUGCUCCUCUGACGUUAGCGGCGGACGGGUGAGUAACACGUGGAUAACCUACCUAUAAGACUGGGAUAACUUCGGGAAACCGGAGCUAAUACCGGAUAAUAUAUUGAACCGCAUGGUUCAAUAGUGAAAGACGGUUUUGCUGUCACUUAUAGAUGGAUCCGCGCCGCAUUAGCUAGUUGGUAAGGUAACGGCUUACCAAGGCAACGAUGCGUAGCCGACCUGAGAGGGGGAUCGGGCACACUGGAACUGAGACACGGUCCAGACUCCUACGGGAGGCAGCAGUAGGGAAUCUUCCGCAAAGGGCGAAAGCCUGACGGAGCAACGCCGCGUGAGUGAUGAAGGUCUUCGGAUCGUAAAACUCUGUUAUUAGGGAAGAACAAAUGUGUAAGUAACUAUGCACGUCUUGACGGUACCUAAUCAGAAAGCCACGGCUAACUACGUG